CCUCUCCAUACCCCCAGUGGGGAAGGUGGCACUUCUACCCCAACCCACACUAUCAGGAAGCUCCUGGAGGAAAAAGGAAACACUCCCUACAGAAUGCUACCCAAAAGGGAGGAGUUUUACCUAAGACCUAGAGGGGGUUGGUCCUGAUAGUGCGCCCAAGAGAGGCUGGAGGNNNNNNNNNCCCGGGGGAAGGACAUACUUUUUUGCGCUCCUUUCACAAACACCCUUCCAUGUGGCAGUGCCAGACCCUGCUCAGAAGGAACCCACCUUCUAGCGCAUCCUUGUGUCUGCUCUGGGGUGGAGAAACAGCACAGGGUGCAGUGGAACCUGAAGACAAAAUACACCACGCAGACUGUGGGUGGGGCUUGCAGGGCCAGAGAGGGUCCAUAGAGGAGAGGACAGCCAGGCCGAGACCUGGAGGAGGAGGAGGAGCUAGCAGGUGAGAAGGAGAGGAGGUGAGGGUGUGAGGAAGGGUCCAGGCUAAUAGGUGGCACCUGCACAGGUCACAGACAGGCGGGGGCUGCGCAGCUUUGGGGAGGGAGGAACAUUCUGUCCGGCAGAGUGAUGGGGAAAGUCAGAGCCAGGUGCUACAGAACAGAUGGACUGGGCAGGGACUGAGGGGAACAGCUGGUGCUGAGACAAAGCCCUUUGGGAAGCAUCCCGGGCAGCACCCAGUCUCCCUGUCCCCGCCCCCAGUGGGAAUGGAGGCUACAGCAUCACCAUUGAUGCGGUGCAUGGGGGUCUCCCUCCCUGGACCACGCUUCCCCCACAUCCGCAUCCUCAAGGUUAGGGCUUCCUCACAUUUUCCCAGUUUUGUCAAAACAUCACGUUCUCCCAUGGCCUGUCCUAAUUAGUCUAUUUGCAACAUCUACACUUUCCCCAGCCCUGCUCUGUUUUUCUCCGCCCUUGCCAUCACUCACACACUAUACAUUUUGCUCCUCUACCUGCUUACUGUCCAGCUCCCUCAUUUCUUGUCUGUUUUGUUCACAGCCUAGAUGCUGGGCACAUAGAAGGCACUCAAGAAACAUCUGUGGGAUGAAAACCACUCAUGACAGCUCCUAUACACUGAGGACUUACCAUGUGCCAGACUUUGCCUUCACACUUUACAUCAGUUCAGUUCAGUUCAGUCGCUCACUCGUGUCCGACUCUUUGCGAC
This 1156-nucleotide long non-coding RNA is filed under the name Capra hircus (goat). RNAcentral's name for it is "lncRNA (ENSCHIG00010015620.1)". The record is from RNAcentral. Lineage: Eukaryota; Metazoa; Chordata; Mammalia; Artiodactyla; Bovidae.